GCGUGAGUGAUGAAGGCCUUAGGGUUGUAAAGCUCUUUCGGCGGGGACGAUGAUGACGGUACCCGCAGAAGAAGCCCCGGCUAACUUCGUGCCAGCAGCCGCGGUAAUACGAAGGGGGCGAGCGUUGUUCGGAAUUACUGGGCGUAAAGGGCGCGCAGGCGGCCCUAGAAGUCAGGCGUGAAAGCCCCGGGCUCAACCUGGGAAUAGCGCUUGAUACUCUGGGGCUGGAGUGCGGGAGAGGAGAGUGGAAUUCCCAGUGUAGAGGUGAAAUUCGU
Molecule: ribosomal RNA, 275 nt
Filed under: uncultured bacterium
Lineage: Bacteria
Description: partial 16S ribosomal RNA
Rfam family: Bacterial small subunit ribosomal RNA
Source: RNAcentral